Molecule: ribosomal RNA, 467 nt
Filed under: uncultured bacterium
Lineage: Bacteria
Description: partial 16S ribosomal RNA
Rfam family: Bacterial small subunit ribosomal RNA
Source: RNAcentral
GACGAACGCUGGCGGCGUGCUUAACACAUGCCAGUCGAACGGAAAGGCCCUGCUUUUGUGGGGUGCUCGAGUGGCGAACGGGUGAGUAACACGUGAGUAACCUGCCCUUGACUUUGGGAUAACUUCAGGAAACUGGGGCUAAUACCGGAUAGGAGCUCCUGCUGCAUGGUGGGGGUUGGAAAGUUUCGGCGGUUGGGGAUGGACUCGCGGCUUAUCAGCUUGUUGGUGGGGUAGUGGCUUACCAAGGCUUUGACGGGUAGCCGGCCUGAGAGGGUGACCGGCCACAUUGGGACUGAGAUACGGCCCAGACUCCUACGGGAGGCAGCAGUGGGGAAUAUUGCACAAGGGGCGGAAGCCUGAUGCAGCAACGCCGCGUGCGGGAUGACGGCCUUCGGGUUGUAAACCGCUUUCGCCUGUGACGAAGCGUGAGUGACGGUAAUGGGUAAAGAAGCACCGGCUAACUACGU